AACGAACGCUGGCGGCGCGCCUAAUACAUGCAAGUCGAGCGAGAAGACGUAGCAAUACGUUUGUAAAGCGGCGAACGGGUGAGGAAUACAUGGGUAACCUACCCUCGAGUGGGGAAUAACUAGCCGAAAGGUUAGCUAAUACCGCGUACGCUCCUUGGACUUCGGUUCAGGGAGGAAAGCGAUACCGUGGGUAUCGCGCUCUUGGAUGGGCUCAUGUCCUAUCAGCUUGUUGGNGAGGUAACGGCUCACCAAGGCUUCGACGGGUAGCUGGUCUGAGAGGACGAUCAGCCACACUGGGACUGAGACACGGCCCAGACUCCUACGGGAGGCAGCAGUGGGGAAUCUUGCGCAAUGCGCGAAAGCGUGACGCAGCAACGCCGCGUGGGGGAAGAAGGCCU
RNAcentral lists this ribosomal RNA (398 nucleotides) under uncultured bacterium. Its description in RNAcentral is "bacterial SSU rRNA". It matches the Rfam family "Bacterial small subunit ribosomal RNA", at positions 29 to 417 of the family's 1533-position model. The record is from RNAcentral.